Molecule: ribosomal RNA, 254 nt
Filed under: uncultured bacterium
Lineage: Bacteria
Description: partial 16S ribosomal RNA
Rfam family: Bacterial small subunit ribosomal RNA
Source: RNAcentral
GACGAACCGUGCGAACGUUAUUCGGAAUCACUGGGCUUAAAGCGCGUGUAGGCGGGGCGGUGCGUCGGCCGCUGAAAUCCCCCGGCUUAACCGGGGAAGUGGCGCCGAUACGGCCGCCCUGGAGGGACGUAGGGGGAGCUGGAACUUCCGGUGGAGCGGUGAAAUGCGUUGAGAUCGGAAGGAACGCCCGCGGCGAAAGCGAGCUCCUGGACGUCUGCUGACGCUGAGACGCGAAAGCCAGGGGAGCGAACGGG